CCUACGGGUGGCAGCAGUGGGGAAUAUUGCACAAUGGGCGCAAGCCUGAUGCAGCCAUGCCGCGUGUGUGAAGAAGGCCUUCGGGUUGUAAAGCACUUUCAGCGGGGAGGAAGGCGUUAAGGUUAAUAACCUUGUCGAUUGACGUUACCCGCAGAAGAAGCACCGGCUAACUCCGUGCCAGCAGCCGCGGUAAUACGGAGGGCGCAAGCGUUAAUCGGAAUUACUGGGCGUAAAGCGCACGCAGGCGGUCUGUCAAGUCGGAUGUGAAAUCCCCGGGCUCAACCUGGGAACUGCAUUCGAAACUGGCAGGCUAGAGUCUUGUAGAGGGGGGUAGAAGUCCAGGUGUAGCGGUGAAAUGCGUAGAGAUCUGGAGGAAUACCGGUGGCGAAGGCGGCCCCCUGGACAAAGACUGACGCUCAUGUUCGAAAGCGUGGGGAGCAAACAGGAUUAGAUACACCAGUAGUC
Molecule: ribosomal RNA, 465 nt
Filed under: uncultured Klebsiella sp.
Lineage: Bacteria; Pseudomonadati; Pseudomonadota; Gammaproteobacteria; Enterobacterales; Enterobacteriaceae
Description: bacterial SSU rRNA
Rfam family: Bacterial small subunit ribosomal RNA
Source: RNAcentral